GGGCCAUAGCUCAGUGGUAGAGCAUCUGCCUUCUAUGCAAAAGAUCCCAGGUUCAAUUCCUGGCAUCUCCA
Rhineura floridana is the source of this 71-nucleotide non-coding RNA. The record is from the annotation of a RefSeq genome assembly. Lineage: Eukaryota; Metazoa; Chordata; Lepidosauria; Squamata; Rhineuridae.